RNAcentral lists this transfer RNA (71 nucleotides) under Deltaproteobacteria bacterium. RNAcentral describes it as "tRNA-Gln". It matches the Rfam family "tRNA". Rfam says of the family: Transfer RNA (tRNA) molecules are approximately 80 nucleotides in length. Lineage: Bacteria; Pseudomonadati; Myxococcota; Myxococcia. The record is from RNAcentral.
UCCGGGAUCGUCUAACGGCAGGACGGCAGACUCUGGAUCUGUCUAUCUUGGUUCGAAUCCAAGUCCCGGAA